GCCAGGCGUGGCGGCACACACCUGUAAUCCCAACCACUUGGGAGGCUGAGGCAGGAGGAUUGCAAGUCCGAGGCCAGCCUGGCAAUUUAAUGAGACCCUGUCUCAA
RNAcentral lists this small RNA (106 nucleotides) under Marmota monax (woodchuck). Lineage: Eukaryota; Metazoa; Chordata; Mammalia; Rodentia; Sciuridae. The record is from RNAcentral.